GAUGAACGCUGGCGGCGUGCCUAAUACAUGCAAGUCGAGCGAACAGACGAGGAGCUUGCUCCUCUGACGUUAGCGGCGGACGGGUGAGUAACACGUGGAUAACCUACCUAUAAGACUGGGAUAACUUCGGGAAACCGGAGCUAAUACCGGAUAAUAUAUUGAACCGCAUGGUUCAAUAGUGAAAGACGGUUUUGCUGUCACUUAUAGAUGGAUCCGCGCCGCAUUAGCUAGUUGGUAAGGUAACGGCUUACCAAGGCAACGAUGCGUAGCCGACCUGAGAGGGUGAUCGGCCCCACUGGAACUGAGACACGGUCCCGGCUCCUACGGGAGGCCGCAGUAGGGAAUCUUCCGCAAUGGGCGAAAGCUUGACGGAGCAACGCCGCGUGAGUGAUGAAGGUCUUCGGAUCGUAAAACUCUGUUAUUAGGGAAGAACAAAUGUGUAAGUAACUAUGCACGUCUUGACGGUACCUAAUCAGAAAGCCACGGCUAACUACGUG
Molecule: ribosomal RNA, 497 nt
Filed under: uncultured bacterium
Lineage: Bacteria
Description: partial 16S ribosomal RNA
Rfam family: Bacterial small subunit ribosomal RNA
Source: RNAcentral